RNAcentral lists this long non-coding RNA (738 nucleotides) under Lathyrus oleraceus (garden pea). Its description in RNAcentral is "Pisum sativum (pea) long non-coding RNA (PSAT_LNC027102)". Lineage: Eukaryota; Viridiplantae; Streptophyta; Magnoliopsida; Fabales; Fabaceae. The record is from RNAcentral.
UAAAGCAGCCUCUUCUUAUUAUUCCUCAUUCUAUUCUUUAUAUUAUUCUCAGUAUUUUUUAGAGAACCUAACAACUUCUUUACUUAUCAAACCCCCAAAGUGCCUAAUACACUUUCCUGACUAGACAAGUGAAAUGCAUGGGCUUGGACAUAAGGCCCAACGCCUAAAUCAUUGUUUCCAUACCCACUUUCGUUUUCAUACCCCCUAGGCAGAGUUCUUUUAUUUCUUUUCCUUUAACCUUUGUCUUUUAUUUUUAUUUUUAGAAGUUUUUGUUUCCUUUUCUUUUUACUCUUAGAAAUUAAUCUUAGUUAUAUCAAUAUUUGGAAGGUUAAUUAGGAUUAGGGUUGUGAUCAUGACUAUAAUCUUGGUUACAUUUAUUUUAUUCAUGACUUUUAUUCUAAAUUAUAUUUCUUCAAAUUAUGAAUUUGUUGAACUCGUGGAUUAUUUUAUAAAUCUGGCAAGAUAUGAUAAUUGCCCAUCUCUUAUUUUAUUCAAUUAAUUUAAUUCAUUUAAGUGGUUAAGUCGUUAAAUUUAAUAUACUUAGAAUGUAAUCAUGUACACAAAACCCCCUCUUGGUGUUAUGUAAGAAAAGCUUGCGAUUAUCUUGAGGAUUCAUCCCUAAAAUGACAAGUUUACUUUCUUUUAUUUUUAUGUCCUAAAAUAAAAUCUUUUCACAACAAAAAAUGGAAGAAGAAGGAUUGGACCCUGAUGUAGAGCUCCAUGUUCAAAACUUUGUCU